Molecule: small nuclear RNA, 248 nt
Filed under: Carlito syrichta (Philippine tarsier)
Lineage: Eukaryota; Metazoa; Chordata; Mammalia; Primates; Tarsiidae
Description: 7SK RNA (ENSTSYG00000024767.2)
Rfam family: 7SK RNA
About the family: 7SK was discovered as an abundant small nuclear RNA in the mid-70s but a possible function has only recently been suggested. Two independent studies have found that 7SK RNA binds the CDK9/cyclin T complex (known as elongation factor P-TEFb).
Source: RNAcentral
UAAUAUAAGGGCUGUCUGACUGAAGCAUCUGUUCCCAUUGAUCGUCAGGGUCGAUUUGGCUGAUCUGGCCAGGUAGGUGAAUGUCCCCUUCCUCCCUCAUCAUUUCAUGUGUGAAAUUUGAAGAGGAUGACCAUCUCUGCUAGAGGACCAUUUUUCAGUCUACAAAUAGCUGCACUCCACUACUAGAACCUACAAGUUCCUACAUAAGUGAUACCUCAUAUAAGUUGAAUCAUGUAAUAUUUCCCUUU